RNAcentral lists this long non-coding RNA (496 nucleotides) under Sarcophilus harrisii (Tasmanian devil). RNAcentral's name for it is "lncRNA (ENSSHAG00000020647.1)". Lineage: Eukaryota; Metazoa; Chordata; Mammalia; Dasyuromorphia; Dasyuridae. The record is from RNAcentral.
AUCAUCGCUCGGACGUUUCCUGGGCCACGCCCGAGGCAGCCGAGCCCAUGAGCAAUUGGGAUUCUGAGCAGCUGUGUCAUCCAGCCGGCUCUUGUACCAGAUCCCAGCGAUUUCUCAUUUCCUCCUGGAAACGGAGUGGGUUGUGAGAAUGGUGAAUAACCAAGAUGCUGAACCUUUGCCAGGGAGUGUGGGAACCUUUUCCCAGCCAGGACUCAGCCAGGGGAGGUUGUGGAGGAGUGUUCCUGUGUGGGGUCUCUCAGGGAGGACUUGUAACUCCUUAGCUCCGUGCUGCUCAGUUUCUCCAUCUGUGAAAUGGGAACUCUUUCCCCUCGUGCUUGCUAGAGGUCUGACUCGGACUCUGCAGCCUUCAGAACCACGAGGACUCUGCCAGUCUCCAGUGCACACGGAGGGUGGCCCGGGCCCUGUUCCCGCCUGCGGAGAGUCUCGGGCCUUGACCGGGGUGAGGAGCGGGAUGCGGGGCGAGCCCUCCCAAUUG